UGGGGAAUAUUGGACAAUGGGCGCAAGCCUGAUCCAGCCAUGCCGCGUGAGUGAUGAAGGCCUUAGGGUUGUAAUGCUCUUUUGGCGGGGACGAUAAUGACGGUACCCGCAGAAUAAGCCCCGGCUAACUUCGUGCCAGCAGCCGCGGUAAUACGAAGGGGGCUAGCGUUGUUCGGAAUUACUGGGCGUAAAGCGCACGUAGGCGGAUCAGCAAGUCAGGGGUGAAAUCCCGGGGCUCAACCUCGGAACUGCCUCUGAUACUGCUGGUCUGGAGUCCGGAAGAGGUGGGUGGAAUUCCUAGUGUAGAGGUGAAAUUCGCAGAUAUUAGGAAGAACACCGGUGGCGAAGGCGGCCCACUGGUCCGGUACUGACGCUGAGGUGCGAAAGCGUGGGGAGCAAACAGGAUUAGAUACCCCCGUAGUCCCUGAGCGGGCUGGCAAGGCGCAU
RNAcentral lists this ribosomal RNA (447 nucleotides) under uncultured bacterium. Its description in RNAcentral is "bacterial SSU rRNA". It matches the Rfam family "Bacterial small subunit ribosomal RNA", at positions 355 to 825 of the family's 1533-position model. The record is from RNAcentral.